This 184-nucleotide unclassified non-coding RNA is filed under the name fungal sp. RNAcentral's name for it is "partial internal transcribed spacer region". Lineage: Eukaryota; Fungi. The record is from RNAcentral.
AUCACCGCGGUUAGCGGCAACAGGCGCAGAUACACCUUCCGCAUUGUCGACCGUUCGACCACAUCCUUCAUUGUGUUCCCUCCUGGCAUUCGCCAUGCACUGAGCUGGAACCGGCCAUCAUCCUUGUCCCGUGGCCAUUCCCGCUUUCGGAUACUCUGGCUCGCUACUCCGAUGAAGAACGCAG